Dipodomys ordii (Ord's kangaroo rat) is the source of this 118-nucleotide small nuclear RNA. NCBI's taxonomy places the organism in Eukaryota, Metazoa, Chordata, Mammalia, Rodentia, Heteromyidae. The record is from Ensembl.
GUGUAUAAAAAGAGAGGUUAGCACUCUCUUUGAAGGAUGGAAGAGGCUCUUGGGCCUGACAACAUCCAUCUGCUUAAUGCAUUGCCACCUACUUUUAAUUAAUUUUGCUAGUUAAUUG